This 336-nucleotide unclassified non-coding RNA is filed under the name soil metagenome. RNAcentral describes it as "partial contains 5.8S ribosomal RNA, internal transcribed spacer 2, and large subunit ribosomal RNA". The stretch from base 1 to 120 matches the Rfam family "5.8S ribosomal RNA", at positions 35 to 154 of the family's 154-position model. The record is from RNAcentral.
GAUGAAGAACGCAGCGAAAUGCGAUAAGUAAUGUGAAUUGCAGAAUUCAGUGAAUCAUCGAAUCUUUGAACGCACAUUGCGCCCGCCAGUAUUCUGGCGGGCAUGCCUGUUCGAGCGUCAUUUCAACCAUCAAGCCCCAGGCUUGUGUUGGGGACCUGCGGCUGCCGCAGGCCCUGAAAACCAGUGGUGGGCUCGCUGUCACACCGGGCGUAGUAGAUUUUAUCUCGCUCAGGGCGUGCUGCGGGUCCCGGCCGUUAAAAGCCUUUUUUUACCCAAGGUUGACCUCGGAUCAGGUAGGAAGACCCGCUGAACUUAAGCAUAUCAAUAAGCGGAGGA